GGUCAAGCGAAUAAGCGCACACGGUGGAUGCCUAGGCGGUCAGAGGCGAUGAAGGACGUGGUAGCCUGCGAAAAGUGUCGGGGAGCUGGCAACAAGCUUUGAUCCGGCAAUAUCCGAAUGGGGAAACCCACUGCUUCGGCAGUAUCUUGCAGUGAAUUCAUAGCUGCUUGAAGCGAACCCGGUGAACUGAAAUAUCUAAGUAACCGGAGGAAAAGAAAUCAACCGAGAUUCCCUGAGUAGUGACGAGCGAACGGGGAACAGCCCUUAAGCUGGAAUGGCUUUAGAAAAACAAUCUGGAAAGAUUGGCCAUAGAAGGUGAUAGCCCUGUAUUUAAAAGGGCCACUCCAGUGAAGACGAGUAGGGCGGGGCACGUGAAACCCUGUCUGAAUAUGGGGGGACCAUCCUCCAAGGCUAAAUACUCCUGACCGACCGAUAGUGAACCAGUACCGUGAGGGAAAGGCGAAAAGAACCCCGGAGAGGGGAGUGAAAUAGAUCCUGAAACCGUGUGCGUACAAGCAGUAGGAGCUCGAAAGAGUGACUGCGUACCUUUUGUAUAAUGGGUCAGCGACUUACUGUUCGUGGCAAGCUUAACCGUAUAGGGGAGGCGAAGGGAAACCGAGUCUGAUAAGGGCGCAUAGUCGCGGGCAGUAGACCCGAAACCGGGUGAUCUAGUCAUGGCCAGGGUGAAGGUGCCGUAACAGGUACUGGAGGCCCGAACCCACGUCUGUUGCAAAAGACGGGGAUGAGCUGUGAUUAGGAGUGAAAAGCUAAUCGAACCCGGAGAUAGCUGGUUCUCCUCGAAAGCUAUUUAGGUAGCGCCUCGGACGAAUACUACUGGGGGUAGAGCACUGUUAUGGCUAGGGGGUCAUCGCGACUUACCAAACCAUUGCAAACUCCGAAUACCAGUACGUACUAUCCGGGAGACACACGGCGGGUGCUAACGUCCGUCGUGAAAAGGGAAACAACCCAGACCCACAGCUAAGGUCCCAAAUUCACUGCUAAGUGGAAAACGAUGUGGAAAGGCAUAGACAGCCAGGAGGUUGGCUUAGAAGCAGCCACCCUUUAAAGAAAGCGUAAUAGCUCACUGGUCGAGUCGGUCUGCGCGGAAGAUUUAACGGGGCUAAGCAGUGAACCGAAGCUUGGGGUGCGUAAAACUUCGGUUUUAUGCGCGGUAGAGGAGCGUUCCGUAAGCCUGCGAAGGUGGAUUGAGAAGUCUGCUGGAGGUAUCGGAAGUGCGAAUGCUGACAUGAGUAACGAUAAUGCGGGUGAAAAGCCCGCACGCCGAAAGCCCAAGGUUUCCUUGCGCAACGUUAAUCGACGCAGGGUUAGUCGGUCCCUAAGGCGAGGGCGAAAGCCGUAGUCGAUGGGAAGCAGGUUAAUAUUCCUGCACCUCGCGUGAGUGCGAUGGAGGGACGGAGAAGGUUAGGUGUACCGGGCGUUGGUUGUCCCGGGGAAAGGCGGUAGGUUUGGAUCUUUGGCAAAUCCGGGAUCCUUUAAGACCGAGCACCGAGACGAGCCUUUAUGGCGAAGUCACUGAUACCACGCUUCCAGGAAAAGCUCCUAAGCUUCAGCUCACGAAGACCGUACCGUAAACCGACACAGGUGGGUAGGAUGAGAAUUCUCAGGCGCUUGAGAGAACUCGGGUGAAGGAACUAGGCAACAUGGCACCGUAACUUCGGGAGAAGGUGCACCCUUUUUGGUGGCUCAUGCGAGCUAUAGCUGAAGAGGGUCGCAGAAACCAGGCCGCUGCGACUGUUUAUCAAAAACACAGCACUCUGCAAACACGAAAGUGGACGUAUAGGGUGUGACGCCUGCCCGGUGCUGGAAGGUUAAUUGAUGGGGUCAGCCGCAAGGCGAAGCUCUUGAUCGAAGCCCCAGUAAACGGCGGCCGUAACUAUAACGGUCCUAAGGUAGCGAAAUUCCUUGUCGGGUAAGUUCCGACCUGCACGAAUGGCGUAACGACAGCGGCGCUGUCUCCACCCGAGACUCAGUGAAAUUGAAAUCGCUGUGAAGAUGCAGCGUUCCCGUGGCAAGACGGAAAGACCCCGUGAACCUUUACUAUAGCUUUACACUGAACGUUGAGUUCGUCUGUGUAGGAUAGGUGGGAGGCUAUGAAACUGUGGCGCUAGCUGCAGUGGAGCCAACCUUGAAAUACCACCCUGUCGUGCUUGACGUUCUAACCUAGAUCCGUUAUCCGGAUCAGGGACCGUGUAUGGUGGGUAGUUUGACUGGGGCGGUCUCCUCCUAAAGAGUAACGGAGGAGCACGAAGGUACGCUCAGCGCGGUCGGACAUCGCGCACUGUGUGCAAAGGCAUAAGCGUGCUUGACUGCAAGAUCGACGGAUCAAGCAGGUACGAAAGUAGGUCUUAGUGAUCCGGUGGUUCUGUAUGGAAGGGCCAUCGCUCAACGGAUAAAAGGUACUCCGGGGAUAACAGGCUGAUACCGCCCAAGAGUUCAUAUCGACGGCGGUGUUUGGCACCUCGAUGUCGGCUCAUCACAUCCUGGGGCUGUAGUCGGUCCCAAGGGUAUGGCUGUUCGCCAUUUAAAGUGGUACGCGAGCUGGGUUCAGAACGUCGUGAGACAGUUCGGUCCCUAUCUGCCAUGGGCGUUGGAAGUUUGAGAGGGGCUGCUCCUAGUACGAGAGGACCGGAGUGGACGAACCUCUGGUGUUCCGGUUGUCACGCCAGUGGCAUUGCCGGGUAGCUAUGUUCGGAAGCGAUAACCGCUGAAAGCAUCUAAGCGGGAAGCGCGCCUCAAGAUGAGACUUCCCGGGGCACAAGCCCCCUAAAGGAACCAUAUAGACUAUGUGGUUGAUAGGUCAGGUGUGUAAGUACAGCAAUGUAUUGAGCUAACUGAUACUAAUGAUCCGUGCGGCUUGACCAU
Molecule: ribosomal RNA, 2883 nt
Filed under: Xanthomonas campestris
Lineage: Bacteria; Pseudomonadati; Pseudomonadota; Gammaproteobacteria; Lysobacterales; Lysobacteraceae
Also listed under: 1 other name
Description: 23S ribosomal RNA
Rfam family: Bacterial large subunit ribosomal RNA
Source: RNAcentral